Molecule: transfer RNA, 73 nt
Filed under: Paramuricea clavata
Lineage: Eukaryota; Metazoa; Cnidaria; Anthozoa; Malacalcyonacea; Plexauridae
Rfam family: tRNA
About the family: Transfer RNA (tRNA) molecules are approximately 80 nucleotides in length. Their secondary structure includes four short double-helical elements and three loops (D, anti-codon, and T loops). Further hydrogen bonds mediate the characteristic L-shaped molecular structure. tRNAs have two regions of fundamental functional importance: the anti-codon, which is responsible for specific mRNA codon recognition, and the 3' end, to which the tRNAs corresponding amino acid is attached (by aminoacyl-tRNA synthetases). tRNAs cope with the degeneracy of the genetic code in two manners: having more than one tRNA (with a specific anti-codon) for a particular amino acid; and 'wobble' base-pairing, i.e. permitting non-standard base-pairing at the 3rd anti-codon position.
Source: Rfam by way of RNAcentral
GACUGCGUAGCUCAGUUGGAAGAGCAUUGGGCUAGUAUUCCAAAGGUCGUAGGUUCAAAUCCUACCGUGGCCG